AAACUGAUAGUCUAGAGUGAGGGAGAGGCAGAUGGAAUUGGUGGUGUAGGGGUAAAAUCCGUAGAUAUCACCAAGAAUACCCAUUUGCGAAGGCGAUCUGCUGGAACUCAACUGACGCUAAGGCGCGAAAGCGUGGGGAGCAAACAGGAUUAGAUACCCUGGUAGUCCACGCCCUAAACGAUGUACACUAGUUGUUGGGGUGCUAGUCAUCUCAGUAAUGCAGCUAACGCAUUAAGUGUACCGCCUGGGGAGUACGGUCGCAAGAUUAAAACUCAAAGGAAUAGACGGGGACCCGCACAAGCGGUGGAGCAUGUGGUUUAAUUCGAAGAUACGCGAAGAACCUUACCUGGGCUUGAUAUCCUAAGAACCUUUUAGAGAUAAGAGGGUGCUAGCUUGCUAGAACUUAGAGACAGGUGCUGCACGGCUGUCGUCAGCUCGUGUCGUGAGAUGUUGGGUUAAGUCCCGCAACGAGCGCAACCCACGUAUUUAGUUGCUAACGGUUCGGCCGAGCACUCUAAAUAGACUGCCUUCGUAAGGAGGAGGAAGGUGUGGACGACGUCAAGUCAUCAUGGCCCUUAUGCCCAGGGCGACACACGUGCUACAAUGGCAUAUACAAUGAGACGCAAUACCGCGAGGUGGAGCAAAUCUAUAAAAUAUGUCCCAGUUCGGAUUGUUCUCUGCAACUCGAGAGCAUGAAGCCGGAAUCGCUAGUAAUCGUAGAUCAGCCAUGCUACGGUGAAUACGUUCCCGGGUCUUGUACUCACCGCCCGUCACACCAUGGGAGUUGAUUUC
Molecule: ribosomal RNA, 792 nt
Filed under: Campylobacter jejuni
Lineage: Bacteria; Pseudomonadati; Campylobacterota; Epsilonproteobacteria; Campylobacterales; Campylobacteraceae
Description: bacterial SSU rRNA
Rfam family: Bacterial small subunit ribosomal RNA
Source: RNAcentral